Misgurnus anguillicaudatus (oriental weatherfish) is the source of this 422-nucleotide non-coding RNA. The record is from RefSeq and is a predicted model, not a curated record. NCBI's taxonomy places the organism in Eukaryota, Metazoa, Chordata, Actinopteri, Cypriniformes, Cobitidae.
AGGCUGAAACCAGUCUCUCGAGCUGAAAGAAAACGGAGCUGAGCAGAUAUGAGGAAACUUCCACAUACAGUAAGCAGAUGCUGAGGCCCAGAUUUCCAUGCUAAGCACUCCAAGGCUCAUCAUGCUCGGAGAGUCCAAUCUGAGGGCAAAAAAUGGAUGCUUUCCAUCGAGUGCUGAGUUCUCCUCCAAUUGAGUGACGGUUGUGAUUUCACUUCUGCUCUAGCCUUUUUGCGUCAUACUAUGUAUGAGGCAGCCACUACAUUGGGAUUUAUCCAGAGGGUAGAGUCCAGCCCAGGAAGUCAACUAGUUCAUGUCCAGAUUUAAAAGAAUAAUAUUUCUGAAAAAAAGGUCUUGCAGAAAAACAAUAUUCAGGUUUGAAAUCCUGCUGUAAAUGUAAAUCAUUUAACUUUUAUGCAUUUGUA